CCCUUAGAUGUUCCGGGCCGCACGCGCGCUACACUGAUGCAUUCAACGAGUUUUGUUUGUUCCUUGGCCGAGAGGCCUGGGCAAUCUUUUGAACUUGCAUCGUGAUAGGGAUAGAUUAUUGCAAUUAUUAAUCUUGAACGAGGAAUUCCUAGUAAACGCAGAUCAUCAAUCUGCAUUGAUUACGUCCCUGCCCUUUGUACACACCGCCCGUCGCACCUACCGAUUGAAUGGUCCGGUGAAGCCUCGGGAUUGUGGUUGGUUUCCUUUAUUGGAGAUUGAUUGCGAGAACUUGUCUAAACCUUAUCAUUUAGAGGAAGGUGAAGUCGUAACA
This 331-nucleotide ribosomal RNA is filed under the name uncultured eukaryote. RNAcentral describes it as "partial 18S ribosomal RNA". It matches the Rfam family "Eukaryotic small subunit ribosomal RNA", at positions 1470 to 1796 of the family's 1831-position model. The record is from RNAcentral.